GAAAGAGAUAUGCUAAGACUUUCUUUGACGAAGGAAUGGAAAGAUUGAUAAUAAAGUGUUCCCAUGAAUAAAAAAUAGUAACUCUUGAUGGACACAGAGGUGUUAAUGCUUAAAAUUGAAGAGGAGUUUUCGAUUUUAGAGGCACAAACGACUUGUGCUGUUGAAGAUUUGAAGUUUGCAGAGGGAAGCUUGGAAUCUUGAUUGUUUAUUUGGCCAUUUGUGAGUGUUUUUUGUUCAAGAUGACGAACUUGAGGUAUUUGAGAUAAUAAGACAGUAUUGAAAGAAUCUGAUGCACUCCCGACAAUGAGGUACUUUCGGUUUUGUUUUUUUUUUUUUGGUUUUAUGAGGUACUAUGGAAAUUCA
Erigeron canadensis is the source of this 363-nucleotide long non-coding RNA. RefSeq lists it as uncharacterized. NCBI's taxonomy places the organism in Eukaryota, Viridiplantae, Streptophyta, Magnoliopsida, Asterales, Asteraceae. The record is from RefSeq and is a predicted model, not a curated record. The transcript has 3 exons.